RNAcentral lists this ribosomal RNA (322 nucleotides) under uncultured Pseudomonadota bacterium. Its description in RNAcentral is "bacterial SSU rRNA". It matches the Rfam family "Bacterial small subunit ribosomal RNA", at positions 28 to 351 of the family's 1533-position model. Lineage: Bacteria; Pseudomonadati; Pseudomonadota. The record is from RNAcentral.
GAUGAACGCUGGCGGCGUGCUUAACACAUGCAAGUCGAGCGGAUAGUUGUGCUUGCACAACUAUUAGCGGCGGACGGGUGAGUAACGCGUGGGUAACCUGCCUUACACUGGGGGAUAACAUAGUGAAAACUAUGCUAAUACCGCAUAAGACCACGAGAUCACAUGAUUUUGGGGUAAAAACUCCGGUGGUGUAAGAUGGACCCGCGUCUGAUUAGCUAGUAGGUGAGGUAACGGCUCACCUAGGCGACGAUCAGUAGCCGACCUGAGAGGGUGAUCGGCCACAUUGGGACUGAGACACGGCCCAAACUCCUACGGGAGGCAG